This 1047-nucleotide long non-coding RNA is filed under the name Bos indicus x Bos taurus (hybrid cattle). RNAcentral describes it as "lncRNA (ENSBIXG00005005719.1)". Lineage: Eukaryota; Metazoa; Chordata; Mammalia; Artiodactyla; Bovidae. The record is from RNAcentral.
GCCUCCGCUGCCACCUCCAGGAAGCCAGCAGGCUUCUCUUUGCCAGACCUACUGAAGAGGCUUUGGGAUGAGAGCCUGAAUCCAAGUAGGGUUGCAAGUGGGGGCGGGUGGUCUUAGCUCCCGCCUCUAGCUCGCUGCAUCCAGACCCCGGCUCAUCACAAAAAACUCAAGGCCCUGGUGAAGGAAGGGGGAAGACGGCCAGGCCCUGCCUCCUUGCUGCCCUGAACCUCCCGCCUGCGGUUCCCGGUUCCUGCCCGCUCACCCGCGCUCCGAGGCGUGGUGGGCUGCGGGCUCCGGGGCGCAUCCCUGUCGUGACCCCGGCCCGGGUCGGUCCCAUACACUCGCCUCGGCGGCCUUGGACAUCCGACCGCGAGCCGGGACCAAGCAGUGUCCGGCGGGUGGUCCCCGGGCGCGCUCUGGGCUGGAGCAGGGUGUCGGCCCCCACCCACCGUCCGCCGGGAUCCGCUAGCAGGCGCGGCCGCGGGCCAGGGCCGGAAAAGGAGGGUCGCCCCACACUCACCGCACGCGCUCCUUCUGGAACCGGGGGGCUUCCUUCCCCUCUGAGAGCCGGUGUCCGAGUCAGCCUUCCCCGGGCUCGCCUCCCGCCCCUUGCACACACGCACACGUGCACACACACGCGCGCAGACACACAGGCCCACUUGCACACGCGCCCCGCACAUCGCACUGGCUCUCAGAGGCCGGGUCCGGGGCGGGGACCGCAGGCACCGGCCCUUGGGGUGCGGAGGAAGGAUCCAGAGGCCUCCCCGGGCAGGGCCCCGGGAAGGGAGGGGCCGCGGCGGCAGAGAGCUCUGCCGGUCCACCUCCAAUCCCGCGAGCGGGCAGAAGCCAGGGACCUGAGUUGGGACCCCGGAGCCUCGGCAGGGGACGAGAAAAGCCGGUGCCCGCGGAGACGAGGGGUCUUAGGACUGACCGAGGCUGGCCUCCGCCCGCGAGCGCGGGGCGGGGGUGGGGGCGCUGGAGCCCGCGCGCCGACGCCCCCUCCCUGCCUUGCCGCGGGCAGCGCAGUCCUGUCCGCCCGGCUUUGCC